GACGAACGCUGGCGGCGCGCCUAACACAUGCAAGUCGAACGAGCGAGAGAGAGCUUGCUUUCUCGAGCGAGUGGCGAACGGGUGAGUAACGCGUGAGGAACCUGCCUCAAAGAGGGGGACAACAGUUGGAAACGACUGCUAAUACCGCAUAAGCCCACGACCCGGCAUCGGGUUGAGGGAAAAGGAGCAAUCCGCUUUGAGAUGGCCUCGCGUCCGAUUAGCUAGUUGGUGAGGUAAUGGCCCACCAAGGCAACGAUCGGUAGCCGGACUGAGAGGUUGAACGGCCACAUUGGGACUGAGACACGGCCCAGACUCCUACGGGAGGCAGCAGUGGGGAAUAUUGCACAAUGGGGGAAACCCUGAUGCAGCAACGCCGCGUGAGUGAAGAAGUAUUUCGGUAUGUAAAGCUCAUCAGCAGGGAAGAAAAUGACGGUACCUGACUAAGAAGCCCCGGCUAACUACGUG
This 465-nucleotide ribosomal RNA is filed under the name uncultured bacterium. RNAcentral's name for it is "bacterial SSU rRNA". It matches the Rfam family "Bacterial small subunit ribosomal RNA", at positions 28 to 507 of the family's 1533-position model. The record is from RNAcentral.